This 571-nucleotide ribosomal RNA is filed under the name uncultured Staphylococcus sp. RNAcentral describes it as "partial 16S ribosomal RNA". The record is from RNAcentral. Lineage: Bacteria; Bacillati; Bacillota; Bacilli; Caryophanales; Staphylococcaceae.
UACUCCCCAGGCGGAGUGCUUAAUGCGUUAGCUGCAGCACUAAGGGGCGGAAACCCCCUAACACUUAGCACUCAUCGUUUACGGCGUGGACUACCAGGGUAUCUAAUCCUGUUUGAUCCCCACGCUUUCGCACAUCAGCGUCAGUUACAGACCAGAAAGUCGCCUUCGCCACUGGUGUUCCUCCAUAUCUCUGCGCAUUUCACCGCUACACAUGGAAUUCCACUUUCCUCUUCUGCACUCAAGUUUUCCAGUUUCCAAUGACCCUCCACGGUUGAGCCGUGGGCUUUCACAUCAGACUUAAAAAACCGCCUACGCGCGCUUUACGCCCAAUAAUUCCGGAUAACGCUUGCCACCUACGUAUUACCGCGGCUGCUGGCACGUAGUUAGCCGUGGCUUUCUGAUUAGGUACCGUCAAGAUGUGCACAGUUACUUACACAUAUGUUCUUCCCUAAUAACAGAGUUUUACGAUCCGAAGACCUUCAUCACUCACGCGGCGUUGCUCCGUCAGGCUUUCGCCCAUUGCGGAAGAUUCCCUACUGCUGCCUCCCGUAGGAGUCUGGACCGUGUCUCA